This 253-nucleotide ribosomal RNA is filed under the name uncultured bacterium. RNAcentral's name for it is "partial 16S ribosomal RNA". It matches the Rfam family "Bacterial small subunit ribosomal RNA", at positions 524 to 776 of the family's 1533-position model. The record is from RNAcentral.
GACAGAGGAUGCAAGCGUUAUCCGGAAUGAUUGGGCGUAAAGCGCGUGUAGGCGGCUUUGCAAGUCGGGUGUGAAAGCCCUCGGCUCAACCGAGGAAGUGCGCCCGAAACUGCAGAGCUUGAGUACCGGAGAGGAUGGCGGAAUUCCCCAAGUAGAGGUGAAAUUCGUAGAUAUGGGGAGGAACACCGGUGGCGAAGGCGGCCAUCUGGACGGAUACUGACGCUGAGACGCGAAAGCGUGGGGAGCGAACAGG